GUAGGGAAUAUUGGACAAUGGGCGAAAGCCUGAUCCAGCCAUGCCGCGUGAUAGAUGAAGGCCCUCUGGGUUGUAAAUAUCUUUUAUCUGGGAAGAAACUCCUCUAUUCUUAGAGGCCUGACGGUACCAGAGGAAUAAGCACCGGCUAACUCCGUGCCAGCAGCCGCGGUAAUACGGAGGGUGCAAGCGUUAUCCGGAUUCACUGGGUUUAAAGGGUGCGUAGGCGGGUUGAUAAGUCAGUGGUGAAAGCUCCGGGCUUAACUUGGAAACUGCCAUUGAUACUGUCAAUUUUGAAUGUCGUAGAGGUAAGCGGAAUGUUGCAUGUAGCGGUGAAAUGCUUAGAUAUGUUACAGAACACCAAUUGCGAAGGCAGCUUACUAUGCGAUAAUUGACGCUGAGGCACGAAAGCGUGGGGAGCAAACAGGAUUAGAUACCCUAGUAGUCC
This 445-nucleotide ribosomal RNA is filed under the name uncultured bacterium. Its description in RNAcentral is "partial 16S ribosomal RNA". It matches the Rfam family "Bacterial small subunit ribosomal RNA", at positions 354 to 796 of the family's 1533-position model. The record is from RNAcentral.